Molecule: long non-coding RNA, 2070 nt
Organism: Hevea brasiliensis (rubber tree)
Lineage: Eukaryota; Viridiplantae; Streptophyta; Magnoliopsida; Malpighiales; Euphorbiaceae
Exons: 2
Source: RefSeq, a predicted model, not a curated record
CAGGUCAAAAUAAUUUUAAAUUGAGCAGGGGUGAAGAAAUGAAAACAAGGCUCACUAAAAACAAACCGAGAAGAAAUUAAUAAAGGGUUGUCCAUGCUAGACAGGCCUAGUGAUCUAGCAGAUCAAAGAGCCACAGACUAUGUAAAAUAGUAGGGCAGUAGGUGUCCACAAUGAAUCGUCAUCGUCAGGCAACAACAUUUAAUUUAUAGUUUUAUAUUGUUAGCAAGUCAAAAAGAAAUCUGAUCAUCAAAUUAAUCGCUUUUGUUUUGUCCUCAGUCACGAGAAGAAUCCUAUUGUUGCAGCUGUAACGUCUUCUGUGCACUGCUUCUCCUACAUUUUGAUUUCUUUGAACAACUGAAGGUGUGCGCUUUUUGUCUUCCCUGCAAGAACUUGCCUCUUCUUUAGUCUUUCUCACUUCUCUUACAACUUUUAUUUCUUUAAAUCUUCCCUGCAAGAAUUUGCCUCUGCUUAGUCUGUGUCGAUGGACGGGAAUUGGCAACUUGAAUUGACAACUGAACUUGGACAAGCCAAACGCAGUUGGCUAAUUAGUAUUCAAGUAAAAUCCAAAGAAGAAAAUUUCAAUGAAAUGCUAAACCCAUAUCAUGCUUGAAGCCAAUAAUUGUAGGUUGGAGGUGUGAAGAGAAACAGUAUUAUUAGCAAGUUGUGGUACAAGUCCUGUAUGGGUCCAUUACUGUAUAGGGUAUACUUACUACAGUGGGGCGGGCACCAGAGAGCUCAGAGUCCCCGGCCCUGUCAUGCCGUCCUACAUUCUACCACCUGUAACCCUGAAAUCUCCCUAGUCUGAUCAUCUAUGUCUGUAGCUUUCCAAGCUGUCUACUUAGCUACUAUGCUCUCUCUUAGCUGUCCACGUGAUUCUUCUUUUAAUAAUUCACUGUUUCGCGAGGUAGUUUUUUGUCCAUAUGAUUCCCUUCUUCUAACAUCUGUUCCUUCCCAAUUCUCACAUCCAAAUCCCUCUCCUAUAUUUAUGCCAUCCCCUGGUUCAGGAACUCUAGGGUUUCUUUUUUUUCGUUUUCUUGUCUUUUCUUCCUCACUUUAUACGCUGCUUUUUUCUGGUUAUUUCUUGUUUCGUGUUCUUGUUAGUGAUCUCUCUCUUUACCCGUAAAGAAUUAUCAUUCUUCUCUUUUGAGCCUUCUUCUCUUUUGAGCCUUCAUCAUCUGAUGGCUUUUGAAAAUUUUCUCUUUUCUUUUCUUUCAGCCAGUUUUGUGUGAUCAUUCUUCUACAUCUUCCUCUUUCUGCUGCUGCUGCUGCUUCUUGCUUUGAAGACUUUUUAAACUUUUCUUUUUUCCUUUAUUGAAGACAAUCAUCAAAUCUUUCUGUUCAAGGACAUAAUAUUAUUUGUUCUUCUCAAGUUUUCUCUUUUUUAAUGAAAACAGAACCAUUUUCUAGUUAGGUUCAUCCUCUGGCACUUUCCCAGCGACAAUAGCUGUAGAAUUCACAAGGGAAAAGGUGAAGCUGCCAGCAUGAUCUAGCUUUGGUUAGAGGGAGAAAGAGAAAUAGAGAGAGAAGGUUGAGAUGAGUUGCUAAGUACUAACCCUAGCUAGGUCAUGCUCUGACAGCCUCACUCCUUCCUAUUUGGGAACCCAAUGCAAUAGAUUCCAAGCAUCUUCAAAUCUGAUCGAAAGGUAGGAUGAAUGAGAUCUUUUCUUUGCCAUUCUUUCUUUUAUGAGGCUUUGUUGGCAAGUGCGGAAACUGAAUUAGUCUGAGCCGGUCCCAAUUAUCAAUGGAGUGUUUCUACUUUCUAUGACUGUUGGGACUCUCCCAAUGAAAAUAAAAUUUCAGAGGAUUUAAAAUUGCAAUGGUUGCUUCAGAAGAGUUUCUUACAAUUUGAAUGUACUACUUUUUUAAUUAGUUUGUAAAUAAUGAAAAUUUUAUAAAAAAAUUUAAUAUUCAUUUGGAGCAUUAAAAUGUAUGGUACUUCUCAUGGAAACAUAAUGAUAAUUAUUUCCUGAAUUAAGAGCAGUUAAUCCCAUUUCUUGUGGGAAUGAACACGUGCUCUGAAUAUAGUUAAUGAUUCAUUUAUAUUAAUAAAUAUGAAUUAUGGUUUUUCUA